Molecule: ribosomal RNA, 446 nt
Filed under: uncultured bacterium
Lineage: Bacteria
Description: partial 16S ribosomal RNA
Rfam family: Bacterial small subunit ribosomal RNA
Source: RNAcentral
CCUACGGGAGGCUGCAGUCGAGAAUCAUUCACAAUGGGGGAAACCCUGAUGGUGCGACGCCGCGUGGGGGAAUGAAGGUCUUCGGAUUGUAAACCCCUGUCAUGUGGGCGCAAAUUAAAAAGAUAGUACCACAAGAGGAAGAGACUGCUAACUCUGUGCCAGCAGCCGCGGUAAUACAGAGGUCUCAAGAGUUGUUCGGAAUCACUGGACGUAAAGCGUGCGUAGGCUGUUUCGUAAGUCGUGUGUGAAAGGCGCGGGCUCAACCCGAGGACGGCACAUGAUACUGCGAGACUAGAGUAAGGGAGGGGGAACCGGAAUUCGCGGUGUAGCAGUGAAAUGCGUAGAUAUCGAGAGGAACACUCGUGGCGAAGGCGGGUUCCUGGACAUUAACUGACGCUGAGGCACGAAGGCCAGGGGAGCGAAAGGGAUUAGAUACCCGUGUAGUC